GUGUGAUGAUGUGUCAUUUAUACGGAGAGAGUUAACCAACUUUCAUAUAUAUGAUUUGGCUUAGUUCCCAAAUUAUAAUGAAUUACAUAGUUCAUAU
Non-coding RNA from Arabidopsis thaliana (thale cress), 97 nucleotides. The record is from RefSeq. Lineage: Eukaryota; Viridiplantae; Streptophyta; Magnoliopsida; Brassicales; Brassicaceae.